AUGUAUAGCGUAAGCUAGUUGCAUUAACUAUUAGUUAAUACAACAUCGACUACGUCGAAUAAAAUUCUAGGUAGAAUAAUGAUUAUGACAAUUUUCUAUCUAUAUGUCUUGACCAAAUCUCGUGCCAGCAGUCGCGGUAAUACGAGGAAGACUAGUGUUAUUCAUCUUUAAUAGGUUUAAAGGGUACCUAGACGGUAUUUCUAGCCCAAAAAGGGUACGGAUCUACUAGAGUUUUAUGUGAGAAGGGGAGUACUUUUGGUGUAGAGAUGAAAUUCUUUGAUACCUUGAGGUGACUGGUAGCGGCAAAAGCAACCUUCUAUGUAGAAACUGACGUUGAGGGACGAAGGCCUGGGUAGCGAAUAGGAUUAGAUACCCUAGUAGUCCAGGCAGAGAAUUAUGAAUGCCAUAGACUAGAUUAAGUUUGGUCUAUAAAUGAAAGUGUAAGCAUUCCACCUCAAGAGUAA
This 464-nucleotide ribosomal RNA is filed under the name Pycnora sorophora. RNAcentral describes it as "SSU rRNA". It matches the Rfam family "Bacterial small subunit ribosomal RNA", at positions 368 to 883 of the family's 1533-position model. Lineage: Eukaryota; Fungi; Ascomycota; Candelariomycetes; Candelariales; Pycnoraceae. The record is from RNAcentral.